CCACCUCUUCAUGCUCAAUUUCGGUAUGGACUGUGUCCGAUUUCAAUGGGAUUAUGAGACGAGAAGAACCGCCUGGUAAUUACAAGGAACGGAGAGAGCACCAAGUGGUCAAGUGGCUCGGAUGAAAAAAA
Molecule: non-coding RNA, 131 nt
Organism: Caenorhabditis elegans
Lineage: Eukaryota; Metazoa; Nematoda; Chromadorea; Rhabditida; Rhabditidae
Source: Ensembl